UGGAGUCGAGCGGUAACAUUUCUAGCUUGCUAGAAGAUGACGAGCGGCGGACGGGUGAGUAAUGCUUGGGAAUAUGCCUUUACGUGGGGGACAACAGUUGGAAACGACUGCUAAUACCGCAUAAUGUCUUCGGACCAAAGGAGGGGACUCUUCGGAGCCUUUCGCGUAAAGAUUAGCCCAAGUGGGAUUAGCUAGUUGGUAAGGUAAUGGCUUACCAAGGCGACGAUCCCUAGCUGGUUUGAGAGGAUGAUCAGCCACACUGGAACUGAGACACGGUCCAGACUCCUACGGGAGGCAGCAGUGGGGAAUAUUGCACAAUGGGCGAAAGCCUGAUGCAGCCAUGCCGCGUGUGUGAAGAAGGCCUUCGGGUUGUAAAGCACUUUCAGUUGUGAGGAAGAGGUAGGAGUUAAUAGCUGUUAUCUUUGACGUUAGCAACAGAAGAAGGACCGGCUAACUCCGUGCCAGCAGCCGCGGUAAUACGGAGGGUCCGAGCGUUAAUCGGAAUUACUGGGCGUAAAGCGUACGCAGGCGGCUUUUUAAGCCAGAUGUGAAAUCCCCGGGCUCAACCUGGGAAUGGCAUUUGGAACUGGAAAGCUAGAGUUUUGUAGAGGGUGGUAGAAUUUCAGGUGUAGCGGUGAAAUGCGUAGAGAUCUGAAGGAAUACCAGUGGCGAAGGCGGCCACCUGGACAAAAACUGACGCUCAUGUACGAAAGCGUGGGG
This 720-nucleotide ribosomal RNA is filed under the name gamma proteobacterium GM48. RNAcentral describes it as "bacterial SSU rRNA". It matches the Rfam family "Bacterial small subunit ribosomal RNA", at positions 56 to 766 of the family's 1533-position model. Lineage: Bacteria; Pseudomonadati; Pseudomonadota; Gammaproteobacteria. The record is from RNAcentral.